RNAcentral lists this ribosomal RNA (458 nucleotides) under uncultured bacterium. RNAcentral's name for it is "bacterial SSU rRNA". It matches the Rfam family "Bacterial small subunit ribosomal RNA", at positions 28 to 507 of the family's 1533-position model. The record is from RNAcentral.
GAUGAACGCUGGCGGCGUGCUUAAUACAUGCAAGUCGAACGGAGACUGUAGCAAUACUGUCUUAGUGGCGAACGGGUGAGUAACGCGUUGGUGACCUGCCCCGAAGAGGGGGAUAACAGUCCGAAAGGAUUGCUAAUACCCCAUGUGGUCGUUUGGAUUAGAUGCCUUACGACUAAACGGAUUUAUUCGCUUCGGGAGGGGCCUGCGUCCCAUCAGCUAGUUGGUAGGGUAAUAGCCUACCAAGGCGAUGACGGGUAGGGACCUGAGAGGGUGGCCCCCCACAAUGGAACUGAAACACGGUCCAUACACCUACGGGUGGCAGCAGUAGGGAAUAUUGGUAAUCUGGGAAACCGGACCAGCAACGCCGCGUGCGCGAUGAAGGCCUUCGGGUUGUAAAGCGCUUUUUAAAGGGAUGAGGAAGGACAGUACCUUUAGAAUAAGCCUCGGCUAACUACGUG